RNAcentral lists this transfer RNA (61 nucleotides) under Pectinatella magnifica. RNAcentral describes it as "tRNA-Asp". Lineage: Eukaryota; Metazoa; Bryozoa; Phylactolaemata; Pectinatellidae. The record is from RNAcentral.
AAGGGGAUAGUUAAAUUAUAACAUAAGCUUGUCAAGCUUAAAUUGCCUUAGGCUCCCCUUG